UCCACACCUUAGAUAGCACAUCAUCUGCUCAGGAAAUGUGCCUUCAGCAUACAAGGGAGUUGGCGCCAGCUCCAGCCAAUGCAUUAUGGCAUUGGUGUGCCUACAACAGACGUUGGGUUUUUUUUUUUACAAGUUGUUUUGAGUGAAGUGUGUAUGUGGCUCUAGGGAGUGCAGGUGCUUGUGGAGGCCCAGAAGGAGGAGGAGAGGGGGGGGAGGUGGAGGUGGAGGAAAAAGAGGAGCCAGUGAAUAAAAGUUACUCUGUCUUUCUUAAACAUCUUCAAGGUCUCUGGGAAGGAAUAAAUUCCCAAGUGAGAGAGUUUCCUUGGAGAAGACUGCCCUGGCACUUGACUUGGGCGAAAUCUGACGAGUUGACGCCUUGUAUCCAUGCUCGUUGUUCCUUUUUCCUAUGCAUAUACCUCUUUGAGAAGUAGCAUUAAAGAGGCAUAGGGCAUGGGAAAAUGGGGCUGCAGAGGUGUUCCACUGGAGUUUUCAACGAAACCUCAUCUACAGAGAAAGGGUUGAUUAAACAUGCUUUCCUAACCGCUUUCAUUAUCUGCCACUCUACCCAAAGGAGUGUACAGCUCUUAGCAGCAUGAUUGUUUUUAUUUGCUACAUGGGAUGCUGUGAGAAAACAGUGAUGGUGUGAUCUUGUGAAGUGCUGAGUGAGAAUUGCAAACCUAGGAAAAGCAAUGCUCUGCCUGUCUGUAAUUUAAUAAAGAAACUGAAUUGAAUAGCA
Long non-coding RNA from Silurus meridionalis, 736 nucleotides. RefSeq lists it as uncharacterized. The transcript has 2 exons. Lineage: Eukaryota; Metazoa; Chordata; Actinopteri; Siluriformes; Siluridae. The record is from RefSeq and is a predicted model, not a curated record.